GAUCUUCCACAAUGGGCGAAAGCCUGACGGAGCAACGCCGCGUGAGUGAUGAAGGUCUUCGGAUCGUAAAACUCUGUUAUUAGGGAAGAACAAAUGUGUAAGUAACUGUGCACGUCUUGACGGUACCUAAUCAGAAAGCCACGGCUAACUACGUGCCAGCAGCCGCGGUAAUACGUAGGUGGCAAGCGUUAUCCGGAAUUAUUGGGCGUAAAGCGCGCGUAGGCGGUUUCUUAAGUCUGAUGUGAAAGCCCACGGCUCAACCGUGGAGGGUCAU
RNAcentral lists this ribosomal RNA (274 nucleotides) under uncultured Lactobacillus sp. Its description in RNAcentral is "partial 16S ribosomal RNA". It matches the Rfam family "Bacterial small subunit ribosomal RNA", at positions 359 to 626 of the family's 1533-position model. Lineage: Bacteria; Bacillati; Bacillota; Bacilli; Lactobacillales; Lactobacillaceae. The record is from RNAcentral.